This 256-nucleotide ribosomal RNA is filed under the name uncultured bacterium. Its description in RNAcentral is "partial 16S ribosomal RNA". It matches the Rfam family "Bacterial small subunit ribosomal RNA", at positions 524 to 777 of the family's 1533-position model. The record is from RNAcentral.
UACGAAGGGUGCAAGCGUUACUCGGAAUCACUGGGCGUAAAGCGUGCGUAGGCGGUUCGUUAAGUCUGCUGUGAAAAGCCCCUGGGCUCAACCUGGGAACUGCAGUGGAUACUGGCGGACUAGAGUGUGAUAGAGGAUGGUGGAAUUCCCGGUGUAGCGGUGAAAUGCGUAGAGAUCGGGAGGAACACCAGUGGCGAAGGCGGCCAUCUGGAUCAACACUGACGCUGAGGCACGAAAGCGUGGGGAGCAAACAGGG